CCUACGGGAGACAGCAGUAGGGAAUCUUCCACAAUGGGCGAAAGCCUGAUGGAGCAACGCCGCGUGGGUGAAGAAGGUCUUCGGAUCGUAAAACCCUGUUGUUAGAGAAGAAAGUGCGUGAGAGUAACUGUUCACGUUUCGACGGUAUCUAACCAGAAAGCCACGGCUAACUACGUGCCAGCAGCCGCGGUAAUACGUAGGUGGCAAGCGUUAUCCGGAUUUAUUGGGCGUAAAGGGAACGCAGGCGGUCUUUUAAGUCUGAUGUGAAAGCCUUCGGCUUAACCGGGGUAGUGCAUUGGAAACUGGGAGACUGGAGUGCAGAAGAGGAGAGUGGAACUACAUGGGUAGCGGUGAAAUGCGUAGAUAUAUGGAAGAACACCAGUGGCGAAAGCGGCUCUCUGGUCUGUAACUGACGCUGAGGUUCGAAAGCGUGGGUAGCAAACAGGAUUAGAUACCCCAGUAGUC
RNAcentral lists this ribosomal RNA (465 nucleotides) under uncultured bacterium. RNAcentral's name for it is "partial 16S ribosomal RNA". It matches the Rfam family "Bacterial small subunit ribosomal RNA", at positions 338 to 795 of the family's 1533-position model. The record is from RNAcentral.